GAUGUGAGCCGCCGUGCCCAGCCCAAUUUAGACUUUUUAAACCAACUUUUGAAAGUUGGUUUAAAAAAAAAUAAAUGACUGGGUCAUGUUCUAACUACUCGUAGUCUCAGCCAAACACAAUUGCGGAAGGCCUAGCCAAAGGCUCUUUACUCAGUGAAAGUUCCAUGAAUCUCAGGCACAGAGGAUAGUCUGGAAAGACCUAACCUGCACAUGCAAAUCGAUUAAGAAAGACGAAGUCUUAGGCUUAUAUGGAGCUAAAUAAUUGCAUGUUUAAUGCAAUGCCAGGGUACAGGUAAUGUUGAUUGGAGUUGGAGGGGUGAUGUGUGUGCUGGGUGAGGAAGUCAGGGCUGAGUCCUAGGUGAGAUCAGUAAGAGUGAUGUGUAUUUAGGCAUCUGAGGGCUGGAACGCCCACGACAGGAUUUAUUUUCAUUCUCUUUCGAGGAAAGCCAUGCUGCCUUGCUGCUUCUCGCUCGUGCAUAGAGCACUUGGUGUCUUGCGAAUCCCCUGUGAUGCCGGUGCCUUUCCAGGCCAAUGCUUUGCUUGUGCUCAGAAGAUGCUUGCUUGGGCCCUACCAGACUAUCUUAGGGAUGAGAAGCAAAUUUUCUUUCCAGUGCUCUGUUUGGGCCCCCCACGGCAUUUUCUUUCAUUUUGGGUUCCAUCCUGGCCUAAAGCUCCCCAUGAAAGCUAAUGGCCAUUGGAGUUAACCCAAAUUUUCUCCUUUGGUAUUUAUAAAAAGCAACACUGAAAAACCUUGAAAUUAACUAACAAUAAAAAACCAUUGAUCGGUUCUUUCCUGGAGAUAGUUCUUUCUUCUCAAAUAGGCCACUUUGCAGACUGGAAAUCACCCCAAUCCUCAAAUUGCCUAAUAUGUUUCACAUGUGAUUCCAGCAAAUUGCUGUUUGCAUAACACCUUGGUGGGGACUCACUUAAGGCUAGAUUUGUUAGUGUAUUUACUGACAUUUUCACAUGAUGUUUUGAGCUGCCUGAAUAAUUGUAAUAUUGGCCAGAAAAAAAUCAAAGUAAUGAAAGGUGCCUACAAUUAUUCAUAUCUCAACAUUAUAAGCCUUAAUUUCCUGCCUGAAAUGUGGUAAAUUAUUCAUUUUUAAAGUCAUCUCUAGCCACUGAGAGUUUAUGGUGAUGUAUAUAGAUGUUUUGUACACUCCAAAAAAAAAAAAUCAAUGACUAUGAAUAUCACAGACUGUCAAAAUAGCUGGUGUGAUUAUAAAAUAGUGAGAUCAGCUAAAGACAUCAGCUCUCAGACAUCCAAAUUGUAAGAGGAAAAUGAAGACGAAGAAGGGGGAAGUGAAUUGCUCAAUGUCUUGUGGGUACCAAAUAAUAGAGUCAGCAUCUGCCCCUGCCAUACUCAAGAUUUUGCACUGUUACUUACACACAUUCAUUCCUCUUUUUGCAGGCUUUGUCGGGCCAGGAGAUGGUUUUGUAGCAGCAGAAGACUAUAAACUGGGCUUUGGGAGAUAGGAUCUCUGGUUGUAUUCUGGCUGUCCACACUCUGAAAGAGGACCCUGACAGAGAAUUUGAGUAUUCUACCAAUAUACCCACAAAAGGAUGAAAGAGGAUUUGGAGUCAAGGGAAAACAAGGGCAAUAAAAUAGAUCCUUACCACCUACUCUCAUACAGUUGCUAGAAGAGGACUGCACAUUUGGUUCUAAGUUUCUGGAAGAUAAAGCAAAAAUAGAAACACUACUAAUUAUAAAAUUUUGGUGUAUCCAUAAAAUAAAAACAAAUGAACUGUUU
Molecule: long non-coding RNA, 1751 nt
Organism: Macaca mulatta (Rhesus monkey)
Lineage: Eukaryota; Metazoa; Chordata; Mammalia; Primates; Cercopithecidae
Source: RefSeq, a predicted model, not a curated record